This is a long non-coding RNA of Folsomia candida, 980 nucleotides long. RefSeq lists it as uncharacterized. Lineage: Eukaryota; Metazoa; Arthropoda; Collembola; Entomobryomorpha; Isotomidae. The record is from RefSeq and is a predicted model, not a curated record. The transcript has 2 exons.
UUGAGGAAGUUUGCAUACAAUGCAGAGACCAAUUGUCGUCAAGUCCAGGAAAGGAAUGAUCCACUCUUUGAAGUCCAUUGUAGUCUUGAUCUUUAAUUACUAUUUUGCACGAACUUUAACAAAUCUUAAUAAACUUGAGCUAUCUCUCUUACACAGUGUGUUUGAGAAUAAUCUCAGCAAAAGCAGCUGGGUGAAUGUAAACCUGAGUCAACGUGUAUUACGUAAGUACGUCAAAUAUGUACAUAUACAGAGCAUGGAGUUUAUGCAUGUUGUAUAAUACACUUAGAAUAUUUAGAAGCGACUUAAUUUAUUAACUGUUUGCAUUAUGUCCAAGGGCGAGAAAUCAUUAAACUUAAACUGGAGUAUAUGCAAUUAUUGCAAUGUAUGUACAUACAUGUGCUUUGAGCAUGCAUACAUAUGUACAUGGACGAAACACACAGAAAUUGAGGUGACAUUAAGAUGACACACUCAAAGGUGGAGUAUUUAAUAAAUUAAAAUUAAAUUUAAAUCAAAUGAAUGAUAUUUAUGUACGAUACACGUGAUAUGAUGUAUUUAGAUUAUCUCAAAGUCAAAAUUACUAAAUUCCAUUUGACGGAGCAUGUAAAUAGAUAUGUCUGCACAGAUCCGUCUGCUAACACAUAAUAUGCACGCUUACAAAUGUAUGUAUAUCACUUUAUGAGAAUAAAAAGACAAGACGCUGCAUAAUGAAUUACUAAUAAAUGUCGAGAAAAAAUUAUUCUUCACAUUGUACUUUAAUUAUAUUUUCAAGUAACAAAAUUGAUAACAACAUUAAAUAAUUUGCAUAAACCACUCCAGCCAGACUUGCAUAUCCCAUCGUGAAGCAAACUUUUCCAAAAAAUGGGUAAUCCUCUAAAAGUAUUGUAUUAAAUAUGUUGUAGUGGAAAAGAAGAAUACUGCAUUAAUUAAUACAUACACAAUUCAUUCGUUACCAUUAAUCGAGGUCUGAAGAACAACAACAA